This 271-nucleotide ribosomal RNA is filed under the name uncultured bacterium. RNAcentral describes it as "partial 16S ribosomal RNA". It matches the Rfam family "Bacterial small subunit ribosomal RNA", at positions 524 to 790 of the family's 1533-position model. The record is from RNAcentral.
UACGAAGGGGGCUAGCGUUGCUCGGAAUCACUGGGCGUAAAGGGUGCGUAGGCGGGUCUUUAAGUCAGGGGUGAAAUCCUGGAGCUCAACUCCAGAACUGCCUUUGAUACUGAGGAUCUUGAGUAUGGGAGAGGUGAGUGGAACUGCGAGUGUAGAGGUGAAAUUCGUAGAUAUUCGCAAGAACACCAGUGGCGAAGGCGGCAACCUGGUCCUUGACUGACGCUGAGGCGCGAAAGCGUGGGGAGCAAACAGGGAUUAAGAAAACCCCUAG